RNAcentral lists this ribosomal RNA (253 nucleotides) under uncultured bacterium. RNAcentral describes it as "partial 16S ribosomal RNA". It matches the Rfam family "Bacterial small subunit ribosomal RNA", at positions 524 to 776 of the family's 1533-position model. The record is from RNAcentral.
UACGAAGGGUGCAAGCGUUACUCGGAAUUACUGGGCGUAAAGCGUGCGUAGGUGGUGAGUUAAGUCUGUCGUGAAAGCCCCGGGCUCAACCUGGGAAUGGCGAUGGAUACUGGCUCGCUAGAGUGCGGUAGAGGAGAGUGGAAUUCCCGGUGUAGCAGUGAAAUGCGUAGAGAUCGGGAGGAACAUCAGUUGCGAAGGCGGCUCUCUGGACCAGCACUGACGCUGAGAAGCGAAAGCAUGGGGAGCGAACAGG